AACGAACGCUGGCGGCAGGCCUAACACAUGCAAGUCGAGCGCCCGCAAGGGAGCGGCAGACGGGUGAGUAACACGUGGGAACCUACCCUUUCCUACGGAAUAACACAGAGAAAUUUGUGCUAAUACCGUAUACGCCCUUCGGGGAAGAUUCAUCGGGGAAGGAUGGGCCCGCGUCCGAUUAGCUGGUUGGUGGGGUAAUGGCCUACCAAGGCGACGAUCGGUAGCUGGUCUGAGAGGAUGAUCAGCCACAUUGGGACUGAGACACGGCCCAAAACUCCUACGGGAGGCAGCAGUGGGGAAUAUUGGACAAUGGGCGCAAGCCUGAUCCAGCCAUGCCGCGUGAGUGAUGAAGGCCUUAGGGUUGUAAAGCUCUUUCACCCACGACGAUAAUGACGGUAGUGGGAGAAGAAGCCCGGCUAACUUCGUG
RNAcentral lists this ribosomal RNA (427 nucleotides) under uncultured bacterium. Its description in RNAcentral is "bacterial SSU rRNA". It matches the Rfam family "Bacterial small subunit ribosomal RNA", at positions 29 to 507 of the family's 1533-position model. The record is from RNAcentral.